UUGCAUCCGAAAAUUUGUUUAUUGCAAUAUCUAUUUUCAGAACUUUCAUUUUUUGUUUAAAUAAAAAUAAAUUAAUUUAAAUAAUAACAUAUUUAUAUGUAUUUACAGCAGUUGGUUGCCACUCCGUAGUAAAAGACUUUUUCUUUUUUUUUUUUUUACACAAAAGCAAUCGUUAUAACAACAAAACUCACCAAAUAUUGAUAAAUAAAUUUUUAAAAAAUUACUACGGAAGACAUUAGACAUAAUACAUAUUGAGACUGAAUACGUCCAUAGCAAGUCGUCCAUUUCAUUGUUGAUUGUAUUUUUGUUUUUUUUUAAUUUUUGAUACUGAAGAGCCGAGUAUGUGUGUGUAUGUUUGUGUGUGUAUGUUUGUGUGUGUUUGUUACGUAUGAAACAUUGACACCCUACACAUUUACUGUUGGCCAAAUAAACAGAAACAAGCUUUGACGUCGUCUGCCCCUGUAAAUCGCAAGGUCUGAAUGGGAAACUUUACUUGACUUGCAAAACUUUGAGUAACAAUUUAGUUUAUAUGAAAAGAUCCGGAUGUUACUUCAGACUUAAAGAUGGUUAUAUCCUAGACCAAAACUCCCGAGGACAGGAUUGAGGGGAUAGUGACGAGCAGAAUUCGAACACAGAACCAUUGAGACGACAGUCCAGAGCGCAGGCAGCCAGCUUUCAAAAUGUAUUAAAAAUUUAAAUUAUAUGUAGAGCUUUAAAAUUAGUCUGUAAUGUGUGACAAAUUGGUGGAAAAUUUUGUAAUACUUUUGUAGUGCACAGGUUCAUAAGGACCAUCGAGACGACAGCCCAGAACACAGACAGCCAGAGUUUUUAAAGAAAUUUAAAUUAUAUCUGAAGUUCUAAAUUUUUUCUGUAGUGACAAACUGGUGAAAUAUUUUGUAAUACUUUUGUAGCGCAUAUGUUCAAUAGCCAAGAAUAAAAUGGAUAUAAUAUAAUUGGUCUAUACAGGAAGUUUGUAUAUAAGUUAAGGAAAGUAAAAAGGCUGUUCAGAGCUCGAUAAAGGAAAGUCAUGUUAAUACACAACUCCUUCCCAAAACAAUCAAAUAAUAAUAAUUAAUGAAUUGUUUAGAUUUGUUCAUUAGUUAAGCCGAGCGUAUAGUACCAAGCUCCUUUGGCACGAUGUUUGUAUUAGUAAAGUUGACCCCCCCCCCCCUUUGUUCUCGCGGGAAAGGAGCGCACAUUAAUUGUAAUUAUACUGCUUAUUUUAUCGAUACGCGUCUGAACGCAAAUAGCUCCUCUGAAGAAACACUCAAAACACUCAAAUUUGUCAAGACUUGAUGAUAUAAUAUUGUUUGAAUUGAGAAGCCGAAGAAAAGUCAUAGAGUGUACGACGGACUAAUUUUUUGUUGUAGGCGGGGGAGUGGGGGAAGCGGAUUAAUACAAGUGAUACUAGAAUUAACGGGCCCAAAAUAUAAAUACAUGCAUGUGUCGGGGUCGCAUUAUGAAGCGGGUCUUUCCAAAUCAAGUCAAAAGCCUAUGUUGGAGAACAGGGCCAGACUUAACCUAUGCGGUCGCAGUGGGCCCAGCACUUUCAUAGAAAUCUUCUGAAAUUAAAAAUCUCCUGAAAACUCAUACAAAUCUCCAGAAAAAUAGAAAAAAUUAGGGUGCCAAUCCUAAGCGAUAAAAAAACCCAGCAUUGUCAGCUUUCAUAUAAUAAAAUUUUAUUAUAAACUCAUACAAAUCUCCAAAAAAAUAGACAAAAUUCGGGUGCCAAUCCUACGCGCGAUAAAAAAAAAAAAACAGCAUUGUCAGCUUUCAUUUAAUACAAUUUUAUUAUAAAGACGAAUGUAUUUCCUAAUACAAAAUCUUAAUAUUGACAAUAGGCUUAUCACUACCCAGACUAGGGCCUACGCAAUCCGUUUCGCAUAAGGCUCCGCAAUGGCUAGGACCGGCCCUGUCGGAGAAAUUACGAUGCGAAAGGUUAAAAUUAAAAAAAUGGGUUCCUGAAAGCGAACACGAUAUAAAUUUAUAUAUAUAUAUAUAUAU
Molecule: non-coding RNA, 2004 nt
Organism: Biomphalaria pfeifferi
Lineage: Eukaryota; Metazoa; Mollusca; Gastropoda; Planorbidae
Source: the annotation of a GenBank genome assembly